UCUGUUAGAAUAAAUAAAAAGCUUUUUCUAAAACUUUUACUUUGCUACGACUUAUCUCAUCUCUGAGAGUGACGGACAAUAUGUACACAUUUUAAAACCUCUUCUUAUAUGUUUUUUAUAAUACUUGCAAAUCCUAUGUUUUUUUUAUCAAUAAAAUUAUCAAUUGUAACUAAAAUUACCUUAAUUAUUUAUACAUGUAAUCUGAUUUAAAAUUUAUAUUUAGAAUAUUUAUUUCAACAACCACACACAAAAUAAAAUUAAGUAAGAAAUAGAGAGGACUAUCUAAUUAAUAUUCAAGUUCCUCUGCAAGGAGUAAAAUACUGCCAUGUUUUUUAGGUUUAGAGACUCGUCUUUUAAUACCUUAAAAAAUUUACUUAAAUAAUAAUAGGCUACUAACCCUAGUCUUUAAAAAUAUUUCAAAUUUAUAUUUAUAUAAAAAAUAAUAAUAUUAUUUCACAACUAAUAUAUUCUAUUUUUUAUAAAAUUUAUUAUAUAAAUUAUUAACUUACUUCUAAG
RNAcentral lists this ribosomal RNA (516 nucleotides) under Neocalanus tonsus. RNAcentral describes it as "partial small subunit ribosomal RNA". Lineage: Eukaryota; Metazoa; Arthropoda; Copepoda; Calanoida; Calanidae. The record is from RNAcentral.